Molecule: RNase P RNA, 387 nt
Filed under: Oceanobacillus piezotolerans
Lineage: Bacteria; Bacillati; Bacillota; Bacilli; Caryophanales; Bacillaceae
Description: Bacterial RNase P class B
Rfam family: Bacterial RNase P class B
About the family: Ribonuclease P (RNase P) is a ubiquitous endoribonuclease, found in archaea, bacteria and eukarya as well as chloroplasts and mitochondria.
Source: Rfam by way of RNAcentral
AUACUCAUGUAAUCGCUGUGUACGAUACGUAUGCAGAGGAAAGUCCAUGCUCACACAAACUGAGAUGUUUGUAGUGUUCGUGCUUGAUGAAUUCAUAAGUCAAGGUAGCAAAAUUUUGCUAACGGCAGGAUUUGCUCCUAAGUUUGUUCGCAGAUAUGGAGCAAAACCUUGAAAGUGCCACAGUGACGUAGCUAAGUUGGAAACAACUUAGGUGGAACGAGGUAAACCCCACGAGUGAGCAACCCAAAUAAUGGUAGGGGCAUCCUUUAGUAGAGAAAUGAAUCGAACGAGGGACAAGUCUUUUUGGCUUGUAGAUAGAUGAUUGCAGCCGGAGUACGAGGUUGACCGCCGUUUGCAGUACGAGGGUACAGAACAUGGCUUAUCGAG